Molecule: ribosomal RNA, 497 nt
Filed under: uncultured bacterium
Lineage: Bacteria
Description: partial 16S ribosomal RNA
Rfam family: Bacterial small subunit ribosomal RNA
Source: RNAcentral
GAUGAACGCUGGCGGCGUGCCUAAUACAUGCAAGUCGAGCGAACAGACGAGGAGCUUGCCCCUCUGACGUUAGCGGCGGACGGGUGAGUCACACGUGGAUAACCUACCUAUAAGACUGGGACAACUUCGGGAAACCGUAUCUUAUACCGGAUAAUAUAUUUAAUCGCAUGGUUCAAUAGUGAAAGACGGCUUUGCUGUCACUUAUCGAUUGAUCCGCGCCGCAUUAGCUAGUUGGUAAGGUAACGGCUUACCAAGGCAACGAUGCGUAGCCGACCUGAGAGGGUGAUCGGCCACACUGGAACUGAGACACGGUCCAGACUCCUACGGGAGGCAGCAGUAGGGAAUCUUCGGCAAUGGGCGGAAGCCUGACGGAGCAACGCCGCGUGAGUGAUGAAGGUCUUCGGAUCGUAAAACUCUGUUAUUAGGGAAGAACAGUUGUGUAAGUAACUAUGCACGUCUUGACGGUACCUAAUCAGAAAGCCACGGCUAACUACGUG